This 373-nucleotide ribosomal RNA is filed under the name uncultured Glomeromycotina. RNAcentral's name for it is "LSU rRNA". Lineage: Eukaryota; Fungi; Glomeromycota. The record is from RNAcentral.
UUGAAAGGGAAACGAUUGAAGUCAGUCGUACCUUCGGGUAAUCAGCCUUUCGGGUGCGAUUCUGUGGAGCGUGAGGAGUUAAACGCCUUCAUGCCUGCAUAUUCGUGCACUUUGGGUGUACUUGCCCGUGUGGUAGGUUAACAUCAAUUUCGGAUAUCAUAAAAUGGCUGGAGGAAUGUAGCUUCGGUCUCGUACUGAAGUGUUAUAGCCUCUGGUAGAUGUGAUGAUCGGGACUGAGGAUUGCAACGAAUACCCUUUGGGCUAUCCGUCUGACCUCUGAAAGUUGCUCAGGUGCCGAAAGCUUGCUUACGGUCAUCUAAGUUGACGGUCAAUAGGUUAGAACGUGAUUACAUUCGUUAAGGAUGUUGACGUA